CCCAAAUGUAGGUAUAAGUAACGAUAAGAAGGGUAAGAUUCCCUUCCGCCGCAAGACUAAGGUUUCCCGGGCAAUGCCAAUCAUCCCGGGGUUAGUCGGGUCCUAAGUCUCAGCCGACAGGCGAGGGCGAUGGCAGACACGGUUAAUAUUCCGUGACUGCUGCAUGAUGCGAUUGUGGAGACGGAGAAGUGACACCAACGCGAGCUGACGGAAUAGCUCGUUGAAGAAAUUAGGCAU
Molecule: ribosomal RNA, 237 nt
Filed under: Pseudomonas protegens
Lineage: Bacteria; Pseudomonadati; Pseudomonadota; Gammaproteobacteria; Pseudomonadales; Pseudomonadaceae
Description: partial 23S ribosomal RNA
Rfam family: Bacterial large subunit ribosomal RNA
Source: RNAcentral